RNAcentral lists this ribosomal RNA (1486 nucleotides) under metagenome. RNAcentral describes it as "bacterial SSU rRNA". It matches the Rfam family "Bacterial small subunit ribosomal RNA". The record is from RNAcentral.
AGAGUUUGAUCCUGGCUCAGGAUGAACGCUGGCGGUAUGCCUAAUACAUGCAAGUCGAACGAACUAGUUUACUAGUUAGUGGCGAACGGGUGAGUAACACGUAAAUAACCAAUCUUUUUCACGAGGAUAACUCUGGGAAACUGGAGCUAAUACUGGAUAAGAUAUGACCUCACAAGGGGACAUAUUUAAAGCACCUUUCGGGGUGUGGUAAAAGAUGGGAUUGCGUCGCAUUAGAUAGUUGGUGAGGGUAAUGGCCCACCAAGUCAACGAUGCGUAGCUGAGCUGAGAGGCUGAACAGCCACACUGGGACUGAGACACGGCCCAGACUCCUACGGGAGGCAGCAGUAGGGAAUUUUCGGCAAUGGGGGGAACCCUGACCGAGCAAUACCGCGUGAACGAAGAAGGUCUUCGGAUUGUAAAGUUCUUUUAUUGGGGAAGAAACAUGUAUAUAGGAAAUGAUAUAUAUUUGACGGUACCCAUUAAUAAGCCCCGGCUAACUACGUGCCAGCAGCCGCGGUAAUACGUAGGGGGCGAGCGUUAUCCGGAAUUAUUGGGCGUAAAGCGUGCGUAGGCGGUUAUAUAAGUCAUUUGUAAAAGAUCUCAGCUCAACUGAGUAGCGCGAAUGAAACUGUAUGACUUGAAUACGGUAGAGGUAAGUGGAAUUCCAUGUGUAGCGGUGGAAUGCGUAGAUAUAUGGAGGAACACCAAUGGCGAAGGCAACUACUGGGCCGGAAUUGACGCUGAGGCACGAAAGCGUGGGGAGCAAACAGGAUUAGAUACCCUGGUAGUCCACGCCGUAAACGAUGAGAACUAAGUGUUGGAGUAAAAUUCAGUGCUGAAGUUAACGCAUUAAGUUCUCCGCCUGGGUAGUACGAUCGCAAGAUUGAAACUCCAAGGAAUUGACGGGAACCCGCACAAGCGGUGGAGUAUGUUGUUUAAUUCGAAGAUACACGAAGAACCUUACCAGGUCUUGACAUACCAUUGACAGGAUUAGAGAUAAUUUUUUCCUUCGGGACAAUGGAUACAGGUGGUGCAUGGUUGUCGUCAGCUCGUGCCGUGAGGUGUUGGGUUAAGUCCCGCAACGAGCGCAACCCUUAUUAUUAGUUGCUAAUAUUCAGUUAAGGACUCUAAUGAGACUGCCAGCGAUAAGCUGGAGGAAGGUGGGGAUGACGUCAAAUCAUCAUGCCCCUUAUGACCUGGGCUACAAACGUACUACAAUGGCUGAUACAAAGAGAAGCGAGAUCGCGAGAUGGAGCAAACCUCAUAAAAUCAGUCUCAGUUCGGACUGGAGUCUGCAACUCGACUCCACGAAGUCGGAAUCGCUAGUAAUCGCAAGUCAGCAGAUUGCGGUGAAUACGUUCCCGGGUUUUGUACACACCGCCCGUCAAACCACGAGAGUUUGUAACACCCGAAGCCGGUGGCCUAACCGUAAGGAAGGAGCCGUCUAAGGUGGGACAGAUGAUUGGGGUUAAGUCGUAACAAGGUA